UCGGCAUUGUGGUCGUUCUGCAGUAGGAGCGCUGCUGAUUUGGUGUCAUCUUUUCUGGCAGCAAUGUGCAAAGCUGGUAAUCUCACUUUCCCCUUGGUGUCAUUUUCCAGCAGGAUAGCCACUGCUUGAUUGUGUCCUUGUUGCAAAGCAACAGCUAAAGGAGUGAAACCAUCCUCAGUAGCUGUGCUUUGGUUGGCUCCAUUCUCCAGGAGAUAUUUCACCACUUCAAUAUGAUUCUCUUGAGCUGCCAUAUAUAAUGGAGUGAAACCAUUCUGAGACUGUGCAUUAAUAUUGGCUCCUUCCUUAACCAAAACUUUGACAACUUCAGCUUGUCCUGCUAAGGAUGCAAUGUGUAGGGCGGUAUUCCCUUUCUUAGUGGCAGAAUCCACAGCCGACCCUCUUUCCAGUAAUUCUUGUACCAGUCCCACAUGGCCUUCUUUAGCCGCCAGGUGCAGAGCAUUGAGCCCAUUCUGAUUACAUGUGUUAAUGUCUAUUCCGCUUUUCAGGUAUUCCACUACUUUGUCCAA
This 527-nucleotide long non-coding RNA is filed under the name Gallus gallus (chicken). The record is from RNAcentral. Lineage: Eukaryota; Metazoa; Chordata; Aves; Galliformes; Phasianidae.